This 1188-nucleotide long non-coding RNA is filed under the name Macaca nemestrina (pig-tailed macaque). RNAcentral describes it as "lncRNA (ENSMNEG00000045908.1)". Lineage: Eukaryota; Metazoa; Chordata; Mammalia; Primates; Cercopithecidae. The record is from RNAcentral.
ACCAACAAAGACCAAAAUCCUUUAUCUUUGGGAGUUGAGGAGAGUUUAUCAGCUCGUGUUCCCAUUGAGUCUGAGAACUUUGCCUUUAAAAUCCAUCCCUGGCCCCUGCCUACCACUUCCUGACCUGGGGAAUAGAGUCGAAGGGGCCACCCUCAGUCACCUUCCUUUGACUCUCCCCACAGAAACAACAGAACCGAGCUCAGCUGGAAGAAGUAAUGUGAUUUCUUUGUUUGCUCACAUGACUGCUGGGUUUGGAGGACACUCAGCCGUAGAGGCCCCAGUCUCGUCUCACCCACUCCCAGCCUGGGGAAGAAGGCUCACCCCCCGGAUCCCACCCCAUCCACACAGGGUCCCUGAUAACCUGGUCCCAUGGGUGGGCCUGUCCUGGGGCAGUGGUGCCGUUCUGGGGGCAUGUCUCUUGCUGUGCCAUCUCUGCCUCCCCCUAGUAAGAGCUCUGUCUUCCUCUUUCUAUAGGAAAAGAAGGCAAGCCACCAACAUCAGGAAGCCCUAAGGAGGGAGCUAGAGGUAAGUGGAAGGUGUGAAGUUCCCUCCUGUCCUCUGGAGGUUUCUUUGCUUCUCUUUCAGCACUUGCUUGUCUUUUCUCCCAAAGGCCCAGGUUCAUACCAUACGAAUCCUUACAUGUGAGAAAACUGAGCUUCAGACGGCACUCUAUUACAGCCAGCGUGCUGUCCAGCAGUUGGAAGGUGGGAAUCUGGCACCCGGUCAUCCUUCAACUUGGCACUUUGACAAGCCUUUAGGGGGAGUCCUUUGGGCCGCAUCUGAAUGUCUCUCAUUCCAGGAGAGUCCAGGCAUCUGGUGAGCAGCCUCCAUGAUUCAUGGAAGUUUGCCGGAGAGUUAGAGCGGGCUCUCUCUGCUGUCGCUACACAGAAGAAUAAGGCUGACAGGUACAUCGAGGAGUUAACAAAGGAGAGGGACGCCCUGAGUCUGGAACUGUACAGGAACACCAUAACCGAUGAUGAGCUGAAGGAGAAAAAUGCCGAACUACAAGAAAAACUUCGACUUGUAGAAUCUGAGAAGUCUGAGAUCCAGCUCAAUGUAAAGGAGCUAGAAAGGAAGCUGGAGAAGGCCAAGCUCCUGCUGCCACAGGCAAGCAGCUACAGCCCCGGGGGUUGUGGGAUCCCCGUCCGGCUGGGACCAUGGUCUAGGAUCAUGCAGGCUAUGGGGAGG